AACGAACGCUGGCGGCAGGCCUAACACAUGCAAGUCGAACGCACCGCAAGGUGAGUGGCGCACGGGUGAGUAACACGUGGGAAUGUACCCUUUGGUUCGGAAUAACGUUUGGAAACGAACGCUAAUACCGGAUGAGCCCUGCGGGGGAAAGAUUUAUCGCCAAAGGAGCAGCCCGCGUCUGAUUAGCUAGUUGGUGGGGUAAAGGCCUACCAAGGCGACGAUCAGUAGCUGGUCUGAGAGGAUGAUCAGCCACACUGGGACUGAGACACGGCCCAGACUCCUACGGGAGGCAGCAGUGGGGAA
This 303-nucleotide ribosomal RNA is filed under the name uncultured bacterium. Its description in RNAcentral is "bacterial SSU rRNA". It matches the Rfam family "Bacterial small subunit ribosomal RNA", at positions 29 to 361 of the family's 1533-position model. The record is from RNAcentral.